This is a long non-coding RNA of Branchiostoma belcheri (Belcher's lancelet), 262 nucleotides long. RefSeq lists it as uncharacterized. The transcript is spliced from 3 exons. The record is from RefSeq and is a predicted model, not a curated record. Lineage: Eukaryota; Metazoa; Chordata; Leptocardii; Amphioxiformes; Branchiostomatidae.
UGGCGGCCAUUCCUGGAAAAAGAUUCGAACUGCUGGGAACGGAAUGAGAAGAAAAUGACCGCAAGUUGGUGAAAUUUGCGCCCGAAUGCCUACACAGGAGAUGCCAGCGUCCUGUCCAGGGAACCAGUUGUCCCUCACAAGUGUAGCCACCGCCUGACAACCAAUGCACCACUGGGAGAUCCUCACUAGCAGCUGAGAGUUACAGACUUUACAGCCGGCAUUCUUUCCACAGGAGGGCGAAGUCUCCAAGAUUGGUUCGAAC